AAAAUAAAGUCAGUUAUCUACCUUCUGCUAAUGGCUGUGUUGUGCCUGUGUGUACAGGGUCCCUCGAAAGCACCUAGGGCCGAUCAUCGGAAAACCAGCAGCAGAUUUUUCAUAUUUGGCACAGAAAUCCUGGAGGGUGUCCUAACUCAUAGUCUAUUCAGAUCUUGUGCCAUAAUGACUGGGUUAUGUCAACUUAUCCUUUUCCUGUGGAAAUCUAGGAAAUGACAGAAAUCAUUUACAGAAUUACUGGGACUGAAAUCCCUUGAUACUGUGUGGAACUACAAGUCUAAGAAAAAGAGUGUCUGUAGAUACUCAUUUCUAAGUUUUAGUUUCAGGAAGAUUAUUGCUCACAAAGAACACUUCUUGCCAUCUCCCUGUUUUCUCCCUAGAUUGUUUAUGAUUCUUCUGUUACUUCUUUUAAAGAAGUGUGUUUUAUUAGUUCAGAUACUAUGAGGAAGCUCUCUGUUAUCAGAAGAGAAUUCAUUGCAGUUUAUUUGCUGAUGUGUCUGAGUUAAAUCAUACUGUUUAAAUAAUACUAGCCUAAUAAAUAAACAUCCAUUUGCA
Molecule: long non-coding RNA, 564 nt
Filed under: Anser brachyrhynchus (Pink-footed goose)
Lineage: Eukaryota; Metazoa; Chordata; Aves; Anseriformes; Anatidae
Description: lncRNA (ENSABRG00000021272.1)
Source: RNAcentral